UUGUUCCUUCUAAAGUUCCUCUUGGUGAGUCUUUUAAUGUCUGUAUUGUCCUUGGUAAAAGAUACUCCUUUAGACAACUCAUUCACCAACAAAGGGUUUUAGGGAGGAAGGUAAGUAUAAGUUAUCACUUUACCUUUAAAUGUUUUUUUGUUUAUUUCAGCAAUGCCUUGUUAUGUAUUGUGGACAAUUGGACUAAUUGUGGGAAGCUAUUCUUAUUUGAUUUUUAUUGAUAUUUUUUUAGCUGGGGUUAGUAAUUGAUCUUACAAAUACGUCUCGUUAUUAUUCUAUGAAUGAUUGGAAGAAAGAAGGCAUCAAGUAUGUUAUGGAAGUUGAAGUUAUUUAUGGUAGUGAUCUUGAUACUUCUGUUUAUGGUAGUGGGUUUCCACGUGCAUCUGAUGAAAGACCAUCACCAUUGGUGGUUCAAUCAAUGUCAUUUAGUAAUAUUUGGAAAUACAGCCUCUUAAUCCUUCUGAGGGGGUGUUUGUUGGGCUGCUUCUUUCAAUGUCAU
Molecule: non-coding RNA, 508 nt
Organism: Lactuca sativa (garden lettuce)
Lineage: Eukaryota; Viridiplantae; Streptophyta; Magnoliopsida; Asterales; Asteraceae
Source: RefSeq, a predicted model, not a curated record